UAGACAAAAAUCUAGGUGCUUUUCAGUC
Molecule: non-coding RNA, 28 nt
Filed under: Mus musculus (house mouse)
Lineage: Eukaryota; Metazoa; Chordata; Mammalia; Rodentia; Muridae
Source: RNAcentral